Molecule: ribosomal RNA, 252 nt
Filed under: uncultured bacterium
Lineage: Bacteria
Description: partial 16S ribosomal RNA
Rfam family: Bacterial small subunit ribosomal RNA
Source: RNAcentral
CGUAGGUGCAAGCGUUGUCCGGAAUUAUUGGGCGUAAAGAGCUCGUAGGCGGUUUGUCGCGUCUGCUGUGAAAACGCGAGGCUCAACCUCGCGCCUGCAGUGGGUACGGGCAAACUAGAGUGCGGUAGGGGAGAUUGGAAUUCCUGGUGUAGCGGUGGAAUGCGCAGAUAUCAGGAGGAACACCGAUGGCGAAGGCAGAUCUCUGGGCCGUAACUGACGCUGAGGAGCGAAAGCAUGGGAGCGAACAGGAUU